This 67-nucleotide transfer RNA is filed under the name Prismostictoides unihyala. RNAcentral's name for it is "tRNA-Val". Lineage: Eukaryota; Metazoa; Arthropoda; Insecta; Lepidoptera; Endromidae. The record is from RNAcentral.
CAAAUUAGAGCUUGAGUUUUAAGUUUUUCAUUUACAUUGAAAUGAUAUUAUAAUAUAAUUAAUUUGA